AAGGAAUGAAUGACAAGCAACGGAGACCUUACAUACACAUCACAAGCGCCAAGGAACUGUGGGACAGCAUUAUAAGGACCAAGACCGGUACCUCCACUCUUUAGCUUGCUCAAUAUGAAAUUGCCAAGGGGCAAUUGUAGAACUUCUGUAUGGAAAAGGGUGAAUCUCCCAAGCAACUACUAGAACGGCUCAUGACUCUCGCCGCGGACAUUGAGUCCUGUGACUGUGACAAGACGCAAGAUGGUUUCAACCUGACCAAGAGAUUUCUCGUGGACAAGUUACUUCA
Molecule: long non-coding RNA, 286 nt
Filed under: Hordeum vulgare
Lineage: Eukaryota; Viridiplantae; Streptophyta; Magnoliopsida; Poales; Poaceae
Description: long non-coding RNA (HVUL_LNC014256)
Source: RNAcentral